AAUGAAUUUGGCGGCAAGAUAGCUACUUAGAGGAACCUGCCCUGUAAACGAUGAACCACGUGUCACUUUACUCUUAUUUGUAAUCAGUUUGUAUACCGUUGUUGUCAGAAGGUUUCUUUUGAAGGCUUUCAAUAAUGGUGUUUCCAUUGACUUCAAAUAAAGGUGCAGCUUAUAUAAGAGAAGAGGUGGGUUACAAUUUAACGUAUGAAUCGCGGAUAAUUAUUGGAAGAAAGAGGGAUAAUUUGAAGAUGGAUUUAAUGGUAAGAUCUUGUAAGGAUUUGAUUUUAGCACUGUUUUGUGUACAUACCGCCCGUC
Molecule: ribosomal RNA, 315 nt
Filed under: Lithotrya nicobarica
Lineage: Eukaryota; Metazoa; Arthropoda; Thecostraca; Pollicipedomorpha; Lithotryidae
Description: partial 12S ribosomal RNA
Source: RNAcentral